GAGAAAGUGAACGGGCCAAAGAAAUAGUAGAAAAUCGUGCAUCUGAAAGAUUUGAUGAAGUCCGGUGUGAUGUUAACACUUCGACGACAGCCUCAGAUUCGGUUGCAGUGAUGAGCUCUAAAGAGACUUCCAGCAGCUUUGGGGAGGAGAAACACAAGCAGGACACCGAUGAACCCUUCUGACUACACUCUCUUUCUCGCCAUUUCUAGGGACAUUUUCUAGAGCCUGGGGAUGGUAUUCUGGAAGCAUCAUCAGAGGAAGACAAGGCACGAGCCCAUUAGAAAAGACCUUACCAAGCUCUCCUAACCAUUGAUACUGCUAUGACACUAGAAGAUUUUGAGCCAUGGAUGCACAUCUCAGGCUCUCUUUGACAUCUAGUUCUGUACAGAUGCUGGAGACCUCCAAACCAAAUUGAUGAGAAAGAAAAGUACCUGACAUCGACAUAGACUGCUUCUACCCAAGAUGGAGGAUCAAGACUUCACUCUUAACUGAACAUGAAACAUUUUGUCCCUUCCCUUCCCUUCCCUUCCCUUC
This is a long non-coding RNA of Pteropus alecto (black flying fox), 534 nucleotides long. RefSeq lists it as uncharacterized. The transcript is spliced from 4 exons. Lineage: Eukaryota; Metazoa; Chordata; Mammalia; Chiroptera; Pteropodidae. The record is from RefSeq and is a predicted model, not a curated record.